Molecule: long non-coding RNA, 3280 nt
Organism: Lolium perenne
Lineage: Eukaryota; Viridiplantae; Streptophyta; Magnoliopsida; Poales; Poaceae
Source: RefSeq, a predicted model, not a curated record
GAUCACUCAAACACACGGUAAUCAGAUCUAUUACAUGCUUCUAGAAAUGUUUUCCUUAGUGUAAUUCCUUGAUCUUUUCUUAUUUGACAUUAUAAUCAAUCCUCUGUUUUUUGUUUUGGUAGAGCUUUGUCAUAGCGUAGAGGAUUUUCUUCACCAAUAGAUACUUUUUUAGUUGUUGGCCAUUGGAUUACAUGAAUGUUAUUGAUGUCGAGGGAGCAACCAAUUUUUAGUCGUAUAAUCUCAAAUCUGUCUAGAGAAUACGAGUUGUUGUGUUGUUCGGUAAAUAUAUCUUCACUUUGCUACUCCUUGAUGAGCAUCUAUCAUAUUCAAUUGCGACCUUUCUCAAUAAAUUAAUCAAUGUUUUCUUGUUCUCCGUGUCUUGUGCUUAAAUUUCUCAUGAGGUAUGUGGUAUGGUAUUGUCACAAAAUCUUUUGAUGCACAAGAAUAUAUCUACUGUGCUAUCUAGGAAAGUAUAGAUUGAAAUAUUAUUUCCUUUAAUUGUGUGGGAUUGGUUUAGAACAAUGUAACAUACACUUUGUCAUGAGAAUAGAGCUUUCUGCGUUGCAGAAUAUGUGUGCACAUUAUCAUCCAGUUGUUUAUUGUGCUUCUUGUUGAUUCUUUUUUUGGUUGACGUUUAGAGCAGCUUGUUAUUCGAUUUAUUUUGUCAUGUUACCAUAGGGGUAGUCUCUUUCUACUUCUCGGAAAUUAUCUUUCUGCUAAAUUAGCAGCUUCAUAGAUUCAAGUUUUGUUCUGUUCAUGUGCUCAUUGGUUCCUUCCUGUGCUGCAAUUAUACCCCUGCGGUAGUCUCUUUGAACCAAUGAACUAAUGGCCCCUAUUUAAACCAUGGUGAUGAGAUAGUUACUAAGAAUUUGACAGGUAGUCUAGGCUAUUAGUGGUCCUGGUGGUAGUAUUUAGUACCGGUAAGCCUAAACUUGUUGUUAUGUUGUUUUAAAUAUGACUGGUUGGUAUUGUGUGGUCCUGUUAUUUGAUUGAAGCAUGCCAGUGUAAUUUCCAUCCUAGUGCUGCAUUGUUUGUAUAUUUCCCGUGUCUACUACUACUUACAUGGAAGUAUCGUGCCUAGAAGUGAAUGUAUUACUUUAUAAAAUACCUAUCAGUAUGUAGUUACCGCUAUAGAGUUGUGUAUGUAUAGAGCUUGCUAUUGUAGUCUACAUUGUUCCACUUGACAACAUAUAUACUUUGUUUACAGUGAUCUGACCUUGUGUGCAUGGAAUUCUUUUGAAAGUGAUGAGUAACCCUGUCAAUGGGACUUGCUCUGUUUGUGGUACUUUUUCGAGAAGACACAAAGGACCUUUGCGUCUUAUUUCAUUGAAAAGAUAGGGUUUUUACAAGCCUCCUAGGAGGUGGGUUACAAGGAGUCUAAGAGAGUUCUAAUGGACGUCCCAUGUCGUCAGCAGGGCAUAUCGAAGGCCUAAGGCACCGGCUUUAGCCCAAAGGGAUGCUUCUUCCUUGAUCUUGAUCAUCAGGUUAUUGACAAAGGGGGGAGUGCCCUCAAACACACACUCAUUUUGGUGUUUCUAGAGCAUCCAAGGCAUUAGCAGUGCCAUCGACCCGAGACCCUUGCAGAGGUGUUUGGGCGUUGCAAGAUUUGCACUCGAUAGCCAGGUGAAGAUGGAUUCGUCGGUGCCCUGCGGCGUGCGGCAAGAUAGGUGCAGCCAGGCCAAAGCAUCAUACCAGAUUUUCUUGGUGAAUGGGCAUUUGAUGAGCAAGUGGCGCAUGGUUUUAGGCGCUUGGUCACAUAGUAGGCAUCGAGGAUGGUUUUGCAUGCCUCUUCUAGCAAGCCUGUAGGUUGUUUAACGGUGGUCUUGGAAGGCAAGCCAGUAGAGGAAUUUGAUGCGUGGGGGCGCCCAGGUCUUUCAGAUUUGUUCCCAAGCCAGGCAAGUCAUUGAGCCUUGGAAUGUGGCGAGGUGGGCGGAGCGAGCGGAGUAGCUGCCAUUAGAUGUCCAUUUCCCGAUUAGCUUGUGUGCGGGGCGCUGGUUGGCUGUGCACCCUCGAUUUUGUGACAGGGCAUCAGGUACUGUCCAAUCUCGCGCAGGCAAAGGACGUCGUGAACGUCGCGAGCCCAGUUGUGCCCGAGCAGGCCAUCUGUUUCUGGUACUAUUGGUGUCAAAAUGCAUGUUGUUAUUCAUCUGACGCACCUCAUGUUUGUGGCAAUUUUGAUUUGAGAUUAGGAAUAGACUUUUUACCUAUAAGGAGCUUUUUAAGUUCUCUACCUAUAUGUAAUGGAAAUCAGCUGUUAGCCUUUUAUUCAGUUUCUAUGUAGUCUGUUCCGUAAGUUUCUUGAUUCUCAAAUAUUAACUGACAAAUUGGGCAUUGCUAUAGUGUGAAGCUGAUCUGUACUAGAUCCAAUUGUCAAAGUUGGGUUGCCUUUUUGUGCUUCAACACAAUGCUGCAUAAGAUGAAUUCGAUCUGCAUAAUUGAUGCCUUUGUUGCUGCCCUAAAACUGUUGCCUAACUGUUGCCUUGGAAAUCGUUUCUAGUAAUAUCAAUUUCUUGUCUUAAUGGGAAUUUCAUACUCACUUGUACUUGUGAUAUAUUUCGGAGGUUAAUCUGUUUUUGUUUGUUGUCGUUAUGGACGAGCUGAGCUUCUUCAACCUGUGGUAGUCGCUGGAGUACAUGGAGCGGCAGUUGGGUGUUUUGGCAUUAGGGAAGGGGGGAGUUGUAGCUGAUACUGAUGCAGCAGCAGCAACACAGAAGAAGUGGUGUUGUAGCUCGCCUCUUCUUCGACUCCAUGGUUUAGGUUGUAACUCCUGAGAAAUGUCUGCUAAGUGGCACCUAUCUUUGCAUGAUGGUCUUGGAGUUUCCCUCCAGUAUGGUAGCUAGUUAAGUGAUGGACGGACGAGCCGCUGAGCCUUGUUCAACCAACCAAUGCUAGUCGAGGGUGACACUGGAGGGGUACACUGGGCAGCAACUCUUUCAUGGUGCCCCGUCGUGAAGGGAGAAGUGGAUCGGAGGUGGCUAGGAUGGAGGGAGCCAUGGCUGCUGGAUCCCUUUGGCCGGUUAGGUACUAGUGAGCUUUAGGUGGACUAAUACUGUGGGUCCUCGAUGCGUGGCCUGGAUCAUUUCAUCUUAGGUUAUCAGUGCUAGAUCAAUUGGCCUGAAGCAUCUAUCUUACGUUGCCAGUUAGAUUAUGCUAAUUGUUUUGCGGAUUGUGUUUGUCUCCAUAGGACAAACCACAUGGUCACAUUUUGUGUUUCACGGUGUUGAAUGGCAUGAGCUAAACUGUGGUUGAAUUCUAAAUUUAAAAUAGCACAAAAGUUGAG